RNAcentral lists this ribosomal RNA (1022 nucleotides) under Neoantrodia morganii. Its description in RNAcentral is "SSU rRNA". It matches the Rfam family "Eukaryotic small subunit ribosomal RNA", at positions 73 to 1104 of the family's 1831-position model. Lineage: Eukaryota; Fungi; Basidiomycota; Agaricomycetes; Polyporales; Fomitopsidaceae. The record is from RNAcentral.
AUUAUACCGUGAAACUGCGAAUGGCUCAUUAAAUCAGUUAUCGUUUAUUUGAUAAUACCUUACUACUUGGAUAACCGUGGUAAUUCUAGAGCUAAUACAUGCUGAAAAUCCCGACUUCGGAAGGGAUGUGUUUAUUAGAUAAAAAACCAAUGCCCUUCGGGGCUUUUUGGUGAUUCAUGAUAACUUUACGGAUCGCAUAGCCUUGCGCUGGCGACGGUUCAUUCAAAUUUCUGCCCUAUCAACUUUCGAUGGUAAGGUAUUGGCUUACCAUGGUUUCAACGGGUAACGGGGAAUUAGGGUUCGAUUCCGGAGAGGGAGCCUGAGAAACGGCUACCACAUCCAAGGAAGGCAGCAGGCGCGCAAAUUACCCAAUCCCGACACGGGGAGGUAGUGACAAUAAAUACUGAUACAGGGCUCUUUUGGGUCUUGUAAUUGGAAUGAGUACAAUUUAAACCUCUUAACGAGGAACAAUUGGAGGGCAAGUCUGGUGCCAGCAGCCGCGGUAAUUCCAGCUCCAAUAGCGUAUAUUAAAGUUGUUGCAGUUAAAAAGCUCGUAGUUGAAACUUGGGCCUGGCUGGCGGGUCCGCCUCACCGCGUGCACUCGUCCGGCCGGGCCUUCCUUCUGAAGAACCUCAUGCCCUUCACUGGGCGUGCUGGGGAAUCAGGACUUUUACUUUGAAAAAAUUAGAGUGUUCAAAGCAGGCCUUUGCUCGAAUACGUUAGCAUGGAAUAAUAAAAUAGGGCGUGCGUUUCUAUUUUGUUGGUUUCUAGAGACGCCGCAAUGAUUAACAGGAACAGUCGGGGGCAUCAGUAUUCAGUUGUCAGAGGUGAAAUUCUUGGAUUUACUGAAGACUAACUACUGCGAAAGCAUUUGCCAAGGAUGUUUUCAUUAAUCAGUGAACGAAAGUUAGGGGAUCGAAGACGAUCAGAUACCGUCGUAGUCUUAACCGUAAACUAUGCCGACUAGGGAUCGGGCGAUGUUCUUUUUCUGACUCGCUCGGCACCUUACGAGAAAUCAAAGU